UGGGGAAUAUUGGACAAUGGGGAGGACCCUGAUCCAGCCAUGCCGCGUGUGUGAAGAAGGCCUUAUGGUUGUAAAGCACUUUAAGCGAGGAGGAGGCUCUUUUGGUUAAUACCCAAGAUGAGUGGACGUUACUCGCAGAAUAAGCACCGGCUAACUCUGUGCCAGCAGCCGCGGUAAUACAGAGGGUGCGAGCGUUAAUCGGAUUUACUGGGCGUAAAGCGUGCGUAGGCGGCUUUUAAGUCGGAUGUGAAAUCCCCGAGCUUAACUUGGGAAUUGCAUUCGAUACUGGGAAGCUAGAGUAUGGGAGAGGAUGGUAGAAUUCCAGGUGUAGCGGUGAAAUGCGUAGAGAUCUGGAGGAAUACCGAUGGCGAAGGCAGCCAUCUGGCCUAAUACUGACGCUGAGGUACGAAAGCAUGGGAGCAACA
RNAcentral lists this ribosomal RNA (425 nucleotides) under uncultured Acinetobacter sp. RNAcentral's name for it is "bacterial SSU rRNA". It matches the Rfam family "Bacterial small subunit ribosomal RNA", at positions 355 to 773 of the family's 1533-position model. Lineage: Bacteria; Pseudomonadati; Pseudomonadota; Gammaproteobacteria; Moraxellales; Moraxellaceae. The record is from RNAcentral.